GGACGCAGACAUCAUUACCUUUGCUGAAUAGGGUUAAUCUAGUCCAGUGACUGACAUGGUCAACAGACUUCUUCAAACUGAGCUAGUGAGGUGUUGGGCACCUUUUGCAGUACUGGGAAUUGAACCCAGCGCCUUUGCACUGAGCUAUAUCCUCAGCCCCCCACCCACCCACUUUUCUGUUUUUGACACAGGGUCUUGCUAAGUUGCCCAAGAUGGGCUUGUACUUGUGAUCCUGCCUCAGCCUCCCAGACUGCUGGAUUACAGGUGUUUACUGUAAUAUAUCCAGCUUCUUUGGUGACUUCUUAAAAAUGAAGCUCAAAAAAGGCAGUUGUCUUCUGGAAUUUGGCAUUUUCUGGAUGUGACAGAAUUUUGUGAGCAUCCCACAGACUGAAGGCAGAGCUAAGAGAAUCUCAAAAAAGCCCUGGCAUAGUACACCCUACCUCUGCACAUCUUGAGAUUUUUCCAUACCACCUAACCAUUUUGAGUAAGGCUUUUUGGUUAUUUGAAACUAAAGUAUGAAUGUGAGUCUCCUCUCUGGACUUGGUCUUUACUUAGCUUAACCCAACUCGGUUCCCGUGUCCCAUCUGCGAGGACUCCAAACCAUGGUUUACUUUUCACUGUGGCAUUUAAGAUCAGGAGAAUUUUAUGUAUGUGGUUGAAACUGAUCCAUGGGCCAACCGAGGCAUACUGGGUAAGGAAAGGUUAAGUGAGUAUAGUUUUGGGGAGCUAUUUUUGAUUGCUUAUAAUUUAUUACACUAAGUUCUGUAAGCAUUAAGAGAUGAAAUCUUGGAAUCUAGCAGUAGUGUGUUGGAUUUUCAAGAGUAGCUGUUUAGUGUGAAAUGAGGCUUACCAGCCCAAGAGCCUUGAUUUUUAAAAAUUCUUUUCAUUUAUAUUUGGAUGUUUAUGAAAUACAUGUUCUAUGUACUGUUUUAGACAAUAACUUGAGUCUUCUGAGAAUAGGAGCAGUAUAAAUUAGGAAUUUUUUGUCAUUUCUCUUUGGGGAGAAGGAAGGAAAGGAUGAAGUACGGUUUGUAUUGACUGGAAUGGUUCUUAAUCUAAUGUUUAUGAAAGUGGAUUUCAUUUGAAUAAAUUUUUGAAGUGAU
Long non-coding RNA from Heterocephalus glaber (naked mole-rat), 1103 nucleotides. NCBI's taxonomy places the organism in Eukaryota, Metazoa, Chordata, Mammalia, Rodentia, Bathyergidae. The record is from Ensembl.